UAGGGAUUUCAUAUUUGGAUAACCACCGUUUUCAUUGAAGUUAAGCACUCGUCUCAUCUCGCGAUUUGAUUAGGAAUUAGGGAUUUGAGAUUUGGAUAACCACCGUUUGUUUUGAUCAGGAAAUAGGGAUUUCAUAUUUGGAUCUUCAUCUGCAUUCUCAUAUCCCUAAAUCUUCAAGUGACAAUCGAAUUAGGUCACUUCAAGAAAAUAGAUUAACAGGGAAGAUUUCAGAAGUGAUAUGCUUAAUGCAAGCCCUUGCAAUUUUGUACCUACAUGGAAACACGCUUACUGGUCCAAUACCAAUCAACUUGUUGGAAACAUGCUACCUACAAUUGAAUGACAAUCAACUUGUUGAAAAAAUUCCUGAUGAAAUUGGGAAGCUUGAACAUCUGUUUGAAUCAUCUGAUCUAAGUCUUUCCUGAGGUUCCAAGGAUAUCAGUUUCACUCACCGUAGCAGUCCCUUGGGGUUCAAGUUCUCAAGGAAAAAUACAUAUUUUCAUGAGACUUGAAGUUUUUUUGGAUCAAUAAGGCGCCCAAUGUUUGUCAGUGGCCGCCUAGCGGCCAUGGCGGUUAGCAGAAACCCAUCAUUGAAGUAAUUAGGCGCCCAACACCCAAAAAGGGUUGCUCAACGCUCUGCGUAGAUGCUGAAUCACUAUAAAAGGAUUUUCUUCAGUUUUAAAAAUAUAACUCAUUUUUGGAAAGAAAGAACAUAGGAAAAACAGAGAGAGCUCGACCCAAGGAGGAAAGGAAGGAGACACGCCGAGGACAUUGCCGAUCAUCAUUGCUGAUCAUCAUCUUCUUCAUAGUUUCUCUUUGUAAGCCUAGAUAACAUCCAUGUCUAUGGAUAGCUAAAGCUUUCUUGUUGGGAUUGGUUGUAGCC
Molecule: long non-coding RNA, 880 nt
Organism: Lotus japonicus
Lineage: Eukaryota; Viridiplantae; Streptophyta; Magnoliopsida; Fabales; Fabaceae
Exons: 6
Source: RefSeq, a predicted model, not a curated record